This 133-nucleotide small nucleolar RNA is filed under the name Carlito syrichta (Philippine tarsier). RNAcentral's name for it is "Small nucleolar RNA SNORA51 (ENSTSYG00000028000.1)". It matches the Rfam family "Small nucleolar RNA SNORA51". From Rfam's summary of the family: ACA51 is a member of the H/ACA class of snoRNA that guide the sites of modification of uridines to pseudouridines. The record is from Rfam by way of RNAcentral. Lineage: Eukaryota; Metazoa; Chordata; Mammalia; Primates; Tarsiidae.
GGCCUCCCGCUGCUUACCACAGGCUAUGUUCUUACACUGACUGUAAAGAAAGAGGAGGCACAGCAAACCUACCCUAUACAUCACCUCAGCCUAGGCCCUGUGCCUGGUCUGUAUUGUGAAUGGGGGGACAUGA